Aquila chrysaetos chrysaetos is the source of this 605-nucleotide long non-coding RNA. RefSeq lists it as uncharacterized. The transcript has 4 exons. The record is from RefSeq and is a predicted model, not a curated record. NCBI's taxonomy places the organism in Eukaryota, Metazoa, Chordata, Aves, Accipitriformes, Accipitridae.
GUGAGAAAGCCCUUACAGGUUGUCUAGCCUGCUGGGAGAUGGAGUGAUCCACCUUUAGCAUUGGGAGCUGCUCUAGAAUUCAGCUUCUGAGAUGUUCUGGCCCAGCCAAGCCUCUGGUAAGGAUAAGUGUCCCCAUCUUGCCUGCCUACAAUUUCUUCUCUCUCUCCCCUUACCUGUGCAGAUGGCUCUAUCUGGGUUCAGUCUUCUGCUCCGAUGAAGACAUGAUCUGGCUGGCUGCAAAUUUGCCAACUCACUUGCCAACUCACUUGCCAUGAGCAAUGCAGCUGCACCAAGCCAGAGCUCCGUAUAUGCUGGACACCUCUGCAGGUGGGAAUGCAACUUCUGUGCUUCUGCUAAUGCCUAAAUGGGAUGCUAUGUCACUGGUGUGAAGACAUCCAAAGGCUUCCUGGGGGCUGCCAGUGUGCUUUGUUGUCCAACUCUGCCAGAUUCUCAGGACAAGAGCACAGGGAACUGAUGGUAGAAGAACAAGCAGAUUUGCUGGCAAAUCACUUUGUGAAGAAAAUGGAAGAGAAAUGAUUGGCUUUGGCUGCUGCUGAUGGCUGAUGGGGCUUCAUAGGAAGAUUCUGAAGAAGAUAUAGAAGCCC